UACGGAGGAUGCGAGCGUUAUCCGGAUUUAUUGGGUUUAAAGGGUGCGUAGGCGGGAUGCCAAGUCAGCGGUAAAAAUGCGGUGCUCAACGCCGUCGAGCCGUUGAGACUGGCGUUCUUGAGUGGGCGAGAAGUAUGCGGAAUGCGUGGUGUAGCGGUGAAAUGCAUAGAUAUCACGCGGAACUCCGAUUGCGAAGGCAGCAUACCGGCGCCCUACUGACGCUGAGGCACGAAAGCGUGGGUAUCGAACAGG
This 252-nucleotide ribosomal RNA is filed under the name uncultured bacterium. Its description in RNAcentral is "partial 16S ribosomal RNA". It matches the Rfam family "Bacterial small subunit ribosomal RNA", at positions 524 to 776 of the family's 1533-position model. The record is from RNAcentral.